This 217-nucleotide non-coding RNA is filed under the name Caldibacillus debilis. RNAcentral's name for it is "T-box sequence". It matches the Rfam family "T-box leader". From Rfam's summary of the family: Uncharged tRNA acts as the effector for transcription antitermination of genes in the T-box leader family. The record is from RNAcentral. Lineage: Bacteria; Bacillati; Bacillota; Bacilli; Caryophanales; Bacillaceae.
CGAAAAACGAUGAGAGGGACGAGUACAAUUUCCCUUUUUACCAAGCGAGUCAGGGAUGGUGGGAGCCUGAUUAAAAAGGAAAUUGGAAAAUCACCCUCGAGUUCCCCGCUGAACGGGAAAACCCAAGUAGGCGGAGGCGUCCAUUUCACGUUACGAAAUCAGAGUGGACAUUUCAUGUCUAUUUGGGUGGUACCGCGGGAACCUUCUCGUCCCAAGC